AGGCAAAAAACAGGGCGCAGCAUUUUUGGGGAGGUGGAGCCCUCCACGUCACUUGCUGCACAGGACACUACUAGUCACUUCUUAGUGCUUCAGCUGACGCGUCGGGCAGAGGACUGGGAGCGGUUUUGUCCCAGCAUGUGGAGGGCGUCGACAGACCCAUCCUCUACAUCAGCCGGAAGCUAUCGGAAAGGGAGGCCAGGUAUAGCACAGUGGCAAGGGAGUGCCUCGCCAUCAGGUGGGCGGUCAGGGCCCUCCGAUACUACCUCCUGGGGCGCUCAUUCAGCCUAUGCUCGGACCACAAACCCCUCCGGUGGCUCCACCGCAUGAAAGAUGCCAACGCGCGGAUCGCCCGGUGGUAUCUAGCUUUGCAACCCUACAACUUCAGAGUGAUCCAAAGACCGGGUGCACAGAUGGCCGUGGCCGACUUCCUUUCCCGCUCCCUCACGGGUGGGGGUUAGGGCAUACUUGCCAACCCUCCCGAAUUUUCCGGGAGACUCCCGAAAUUCAGCGCCUCUCCCGAAAACCUCCCGGGACAAAUAUUCCCCCGAAAAUCUCCCGAUUUUCAAACGGAGCUGGAGGCCACGCCCCCUCCAGCUCCAUGCACCUGAGUGAGGACAGCCUUUUUUCACAACGGGAGGACAACAGGGUGACGAGAAAUAAAUCAUCCAGACGAGAGAUAAAUUGUAUUAUUAUGUUUAUCUUACCUAAAAAUAAAUAUAUUUAUUAAUUAAA
Nerophis lumbriciformis (worm pipefish) is the source of this 732-nucleotide non-coding RNA. The record is from RefSeq and is a predicted model, not a curated record. Lineage: Eukaryota; Metazoa; Chordata; Actinopteri; Syngnathiformes; Syngnathidae.